This is a long non-coding RNA of Juglans microcarpa x Juglans regia, 891 nucleotides long. RefSeq lists it as uncharacterized. The record is from RefSeq and is a predicted model, not a curated record. Lineage: Eukaryota; Viridiplantae; Streptophyta; Magnoliopsida; Fagales; Juglandaceae. The transcript is spliced from 2 exons.
GAAAAAGGAAAGCUCCUUUCCUCUCUCUACGGCCAAGUCUUGGAGUACUCAAAAGCCUCAUUUGUAAGAGGAGCGUGAAAGAAAGAAGAUAAAAGAAGAUGUCUACCAACAUUGCCGCAUUUACGAGUGCAGACAUAGAUGAGAAAGUUAUUAGGAGGGAAAAGCCAGCAGAUUUGGUAAUGGCUCUAGCUGAAGCGAAGGUAUAUUUAAUUGUUAGCUCUCUCUAGCUGUUGAACCUCUAGGAAUUGGAGCUCAAUGUUAAUUGUAUGCAUCUGUGUGCAUAUAUUUUAUGAUAAAAUCCUGUGAGACAGAACCCAGGUCAUUUUUAUCUGUUGCGAUUUCUGUGAAUGGAAUGUGAAUUAUGUUUCAAAUCUUGCCUCAAACUGAUAUGAAAAUAGAAUACUCACCAUUGCAAUUCAUCGAGCUUUGGAGGCAGGAGUGUAUCUAGGGGGUUCGGAGGGAUGUGCCCCCUGAAACAGCUAAAUCAGCGACAUGUUAGGUUUGGGAGCAACUUGAGUAAGGAAAAAGACUUCAAAACAGAAAUUGGACUGAAUUAUGGUGGGGUUUAUUCUGUGGUGGGUUGGGCUGUGUGGGUACACCUCAUCCUCCACAAAAACAUUAACUUGGCAGUGUGGGGUGUUGUGAAACCAACGAUGACAAACAAACAAAGAAAAGGUGGAUGGGACAGAGCCGACGUAAUGGUUUCUGGCAUUUUUAUUUGGAUGUGCUCUUCCUGAUCAGUGAAUAUUACAUGAUUUUAAGCCCACCUAAUCUUAGGACAUGUUAAAAAUGUAUUUAUCUACGUAUGAAAAGGGUAUUGCUGCUGUUUUACAUCAUAUCUCCUUUUCUUUACUCGGUUUCUGUCGGAUUCACCUGGGUUUUUGUUAUUGU